This 253-nucleotide ribosomal RNA is filed under the name uncultured bacterium. RNAcentral describes it as "partial 16S ribosomal RNA". It matches the Rfam family "Bacterial small subunit ribosomal RNA", at positions 524 to 776 of the family's 1533-position model. The record is from RNAcentral.
UACAGAGGUCCCGAGCGUUGUUCGGAUUCACUGGGCGUAAAGGGUGCGUAGGUGGUGGAGUAAGUUUGAUGUGAAAUCUCCGGGCUUAACCCGGAAACUGCAUUGAAUACUAUUUUGCUGGAGGUUUGGAGGGGGGACUGGAAUUCUCGGUGUAGCAGUGAAAUGCGUAGAUAUCGAGAGGAACACCAGUGGCGAAGGCGAGUCUCUGGACAGUUACUGACACUGAGGCACGAAGGCCAGGGGAGCAAACGGG